This 371-nucleotide ribosomal RNA is filed under the name uncultured eukaryote. RNAcentral's name for it is "SSU rRNA". It matches the Rfam family "Eukaryotic small subunit ribosomal RNA", at positions 587 to 966 of the family's 1831-position model. The record is from RNAcentral.
AGCUCCAACAGUGUAUAUUAACACUGCUGCGGUUGAAACGCUCGUAGUUGGGAAUUUGUUGUAUAUUAUUGGUCUAUCCUAGUGGUCAGUACUGUAUAUGAAUGCAGCAUCGUCUUGAUUAUCUUUUUACACUUAACUGUGUUUUAUGUUGAAGCAAUCCGUAUACUUUGAAGAAAUGAGAGUGUUUCAAGCAACUUUAUGCAAGGAUAUAUUAGCAUGGAAUAACACAUUACGAUUUCAUAUUGUGUCUGUUGGUUGCCGAGAUGGGGUAACAAGGAGGAGGAUAAGUGGUGGUAUUUAUAUUGCACAGUCAGAGGUGAAAUUCUUGGAUUUGUGCAAGAUGAUCGAUUGCGAAAGCAUUUGCAAGAGUG